RNAcentral lists this ribosomal RNA (468 nucleotides) under uncultured bacterium. RNAcentral's name for it is "partial 16S ribosomal RNA". It matches the Rfam family "Bacterial small subunit ribosomal RNA", at positions 28 to 507 of the family's 1533-position model. The record is from RNAcentral.
GACGAACGCUGGCGGCGUGCUUAACACAUGCAAGUCGAACGGAAAGGCCCUGCUUUUGUGCGUUGCUCGAGUGGCGAACGGGUGAGUAACACGUGAGUAACCUGCCCUUGACUUUGGGAUAACUUCAGGCAACUGGGGCUAAUACCGGAUAGGAGCUCCUGCUGCAUGGUGGGGGUUGGAAAGUUUCGGCGGUUGGGGAUGGACUCGCGGCUUAUCAGCUUGUUGGUGGGGUAGUGGCUUACCAAGGCGUUGACGGGUAGCCGGCCUGAGAGGGUGACCGGCCACAUUGGGACUGAGAUACGGCCGAGACUCCUACGGGAGGCAGCAGUGGGGAAGAUUGCACGAUGGGGGGAAGCAUGAUGCAGCAACGCCGCGUGCGGGAUGACGGACUUCUUGUUGUAGACCGCUUUCGCCUGUAACGAAGCGUGAGUGACGGUAAUGGGUAAAGAAGCACCGGCUAACUACGUG